Molecule: ribosomal RNA, 77 nt
Filed under: Glaesserella parasuis
Lineage: Bacteria; Pseudomonadati; Pseudomonadota; Gammaproteobacteria; Pasteurellales; Pasteurellaceae
Source: RNAcentral
CUUGGCAACAAUAGUGCUGUGGUCCCACCUGACUCCAUACCGAACUCAGAAGUGAAACGCAGUUACGCCGAUGGUAG